CACAUUCUGAAUCACCGAUUAGAGUUUGUCUUUCUCUCUCAACUCCAUUGAAACCCGUUUACAACUCAGUUCUAUUAGGGUUUCUUCAUUUUCUCUCUACCUACUGCUUCUCCGUUGUUUCUAUGAUGAUUUAAUGAAGCCGUCAUCUUCAUCACAAAGAUGGAUGGUAUAAACUGUUUAUGGAGCAUUUGCAUUCUAUACUGUUGGUUUCAUAGACUUCCACCAUAAUCUUUGGAAUGGAUGUGUCACAUGGUGGUAUGCUGCAUGGUCGUUGCCGAUUGUAGGCGUCUCUGUUGAGCCACCUUACGAGAGCUUUCUUUGCCCUGCUUUCGGGCCAUGAUGGUGAUGUUUGUUCACCUGAUUUUACCCCUGUAAAGUCUCUUUUAUUUUAUUUAUCACAUUAGAGGAUGUGAGAACGGUGUAUUACCAUAGAUUUUGAAGUGUAUUAAAUUUGUUACCUAACUAUGAUGGUCUCUACACCUGAGUUCUUAUCGAUGAAAGCUUAUAAUGAUUUUUCUUA
This is a long non-coding RNA of Helianthus annuus (common sunflower), 520 nucleotides long. RefSeq lists it as uncharacterized. The record is from RefSeq and is a predicted model, not a curated record. The transcript has 2 exons. NCBI's taxonomy places the organism in Eukaryota, Viridiplantae, Streptophyta, Magnoliopsida, Asterales, Asteraceae.